GAUGAACGCUGGCGGCGUGCCUAAUACAUGCAAGUCGAGCGAACGGACGAGAAGCUUGCUUCUCUGAUGUUAGCGGCGGACGGGUGAGUAACACGUGGAUAACCUACCUAUAAGACUGGGAUAACUUCGGGAAACCGGAGCUAAUACCGGAUGAUAUUUUGAACCGCAUGGUUCAAAAGUGAAAGACGGUCUUGCUGUCACUUAUAGAUGGAUCCGCGCUGCAUUAGCUAGUUGGUAAGGUAACGGCUUACCAAGGCAACGAUGCAUAGCCGACCUGAGAGGGUGAUCGGCCACACUGGAACUGAGACACGGUCCAGACUCCUACGGGAGGCAGCAGUAGGGAAUCUUCCGCAAUGGGCGAAAGCCUGACGGAGCAACGCCGCGUGAGUGAUGAAGGUCUUCGGAUCGUAAAACUCUGUUAUUAGGGAAGAACAUAUGUGUAAGUAACUGUGCACAUCUUGACGGUACCUAAUCAGAAAGCCACGGCGAACUACGU
RNAcentral lists this ribosomal RNA (496 nucleotides) under uncultured bacterium. RNAcentral describes it as "partial 16S ribosomal RNA". It matches the Rfam family "Bacterial small subunit ribosomal RNA", at positions 28 to 506 of the family's 1533-position model. The record is from RNAcentral.